GGCGAUCAGAUACCGCCCUAGUUCUGACCGUAAACGAUGCCAACUAGCGAUCCGCCAGUCGACUCAUCGCUCUGGUGGGGAGCUUCCCGGAAACGAAAGUCUUCCGGUUCCGGGGGAAGUAUGGUUGCAAAGCUGAAACUUAAAGGAAUUGACGGAAGGGCACCACCAGGAGUGGAGCCUGCGGCUUAAUUUGACUCAACACGGGGAAACUCACCCGGCCCGGACACCGUAAGGAUUGACAGAUUGAUAGCUUUUUCAUGAUUCGGUGGAUGGUGGUGCAUGGCCGUUCUUAGUUCGUGGAGCGAUUUGUCUGGUUUAUUCCGAUAACGAGCGAGACUCUGGCCCACUAAAUAGUUGACGCAUUGCCACUGUGCGCACAACUUCUUAGAGGGAUUUUCGGUGUUUUCAACCGCACGAAAUUGAGCAAUAACAGGUCUGUGAUGCCCUUAGAUGUCCGGGGCUGCACGCGCGCUACACUGGCAAAAUCAGCGUGCUUGUCCUCCCCCGAAAGGGGUUGGUAAACCGAUGAAAAUUUGCCGUGAUUGGGAUCGGACAUUGCAAUUAUUGUCCGUGAACGAGGAAUCCCUUGUAAGGGCGAGUCAUCAACUCGUCCUGAAUACGUCCCUGCCCUUGUA
This 635-nucleotide ribosomal RNA is filed under the name Rotylenchulus reniformis. RNAcentral describes it as "SSU rRNA". It matches the Rfam family "Eukaryotic small subunit ribosomal RNA", at positions 1003 to 1664 of the family's 1831-position model. Lineage: Eukaryota; Metazoa; Nematoda; Chromadorea; Rhabditida; Hoplolaimidae. The record is from RNAcentral.